CUGAAACCAUUAUCUACAUGGAUGCAAUAACACUCUUUUUUCUGCAUCAUCAUAAAAAUUCGCGCGGAAAAGGCGCAUCAUCACCAUGCUCUGUUUUAUUUGCGCUAAGAUACUAUUAAUAUUACGACGCGGCAGGCGCACACGCGGCUUGCAUUGACGACGAUCUCGCGGCAUACUGACAGCAGCAGCUCUUUUAUUUUUCUGAAUGGAGGCGUGGAUUCAUUCACAGAAGGGAGCAAACUAACAGUAAGUUUGCAUAGGUUUUGGGAACGCAUGAAUCGGCUGCUGUUGCUGUUCCGGCGGACUGCCCGGUGCAGGCAGGGCGGGCUGCUGUUUGAGUCGUUUGGAACAGGCCGGCAAAACUGCAAAUAAUAACAGUGCUGUAACAGAUAAAAAAUAAUAGAGAUGCAUCCAACGGCUAAUCUACGUGCCUUCCUUCUGGCCCUCACUACCCCUCGGCGCAGGCUGCGACGCUUUUGCGUUGCCCUAUCUGAGGUUCUACAUACAAAUGCAAAUUAGCUUAGAGCUACGUAGGCAAAGUAACGUUGUGCGCUUUACAUAUGCUCGUGCAGCAGGCUAACAUGUAUGGGUACGUAGGCGGACAUCUGACAUGAUAAUUGCACGCCGCCGAGUGGAUCUGGAUCUUUCGGUCACUUCUUUUGGUCGAUUUUUGGUCAUUAGGGACCCGCAGCCUGACGGGGCCUUAAGCCGAAUUUCGGCUGCGGGUACUGCGGGUACAGUACCCGCAGUAUUCGCAGGAUUUGCCAACCUCUGAUCUCAAUAGGAUGCAGGCAGGGUAUUAGAACGGGCGGUAUGCACGGACAAUGAACAGAGACAUACAGAAUUACCGCAUGAUGAAUUUAAUUUACAACGACUGCACACUGCCCAUCAGGGUGAGCCCAUCAACACGUAAGGCCCCCCCCUAGGUUACCAUGCAAGCCCGCCCGGCCGUCAGAGCGAUCAGAGGGAACCAAAAUUUGGGAAUAGCACCUUGUGCACUUCGUGUGCAACACUCACAGGCGCCGGUCCACCACCGAUAGAAUGGGAGGGUCGGGGCCCACGCCGACUUCUAAAACAAUAUUAGUUUUUGUGUUUUUUCAAUUUAAGAGGACUAAGUAUUCUUAUUGACAUGCAGUUGAUAAAAGCAUAUGCUCAUAAGAGGCCUAUCUGCUUAGUAAGAACAACCCCUCACGCCGUUGUUUGUAGCUCUCCAACUACCAACAAAGCAACUCCCCGAGAGCCGCCUGACUGUUGUGUUCCCGUGCCUGCCAUGAGUCGUUGAGGCCCUCGCUGGUGAACAUGUGCCCCUCUACACAUAGUAAUCUUGCAUGGCCGCCGUCGUCGGUGGCAACGCUAAUACAUGCCGGCACCGCUAAGUCACCAUAGCCGAAUGUAACAAGUCUUACUGAAUAUUUGUGAACGAACAAUAAAGAACAAUAAAAAAAGCGGUUGUGAUGUGCGCUGUCUGUCAAACGCUAGUUUUUUGUAAAUGACGCCAAGACCUUUUCACCUCACGCAACUGCCAAUCAACCGUCCAAACUGUUCCCCAACCGCGCGCCUCCCAGGUCCCAACUGUGAAAUG
RNAcentral lists this long non-coding RNA (1582 nucleotides) under Volvox carteri. RNAcentral describes it as "long non-coding RNA (VCAR_LNC003148)". Lineage: Eukaryota; Viridiplantae; Chlorophyta; Chlorophyceae; Chlamydomonadales; Volvocaceae. The record is from RNAcentral.